This 400-nucleotide ribosomal RNA is filed under the name uncultured bacterium. Its description in RNAcentral is "bacterial SSU rRNA". It matches the Rfam family "Bacterial small subunit ribosomal RNA", at positions 355 to 747 of the family's 1533-position model. The record is from RNAcentral.
UAGGGAAUCUUCCGCAAUGGACGCAAGUCUGACGGAGCAACGCCGCGUGAGUGAAGAAGGGUUUCGGCUCGUAAAACUCUGUUGUUAAGGAAGAACACUUUGGGUAGUAACUGGCCUAGAGAUGACGGUACUUAACCAGAAAGCCACGGCUAACUACGUGCCAGCAGCCGCGGUAAUACGUAGGUGGCAAGCGUUAUCCGGAAUUAUUGGGCGUAAAGCGCGCGUAGGCGGUAGAAUAAGUCUGAUGUGAAAGCCCCCGGCUCAACCGGGGAGGGUCAUUGGAAACUGUUUUACUUGAGUGCAGAAGAGGAGAGUGGAAUUCCAUGUGUAGCGGUGAAAUGCGCAGAGAUAUGGAGGAACACCAGUGGCGAAGGCGGCUCUCUGGUCUGUAACUGACGCU